Molecule: ribosomal RNA, 253 nt
Filed under: uncultured bacterium
Lineage: Bacteria
Description: partial 16S ribosomal RNA
Rfam family: Bacterial small subunit ribosomal RNA
Source: RNAcentral
CGAAGGGGGCUAGCGUUGCUCGGAAUCACUGGGCGUAAAGGGUGCGUAGGCGGGUCUUUAAGUCAGGGGUGAAAUCCUGGAGCUCAACUCCAGAACUGCCUUUGAUACUGAGGAUCUUGAGUACGGGAGAGGUGAGUGGAACUGCGAGUGUAGAGGUGAAAUUCGUAGAUAUUCGCAAGAACACCAGUGGCGAAGGCGGCUCACUGGCCCGUAACUGACGCUGAGGCACGAAAGCGUGGGAGCAAACAGGAUU